RNAcentral lists this ribosomal RNA (301 nucleotides) under uncultured bacterium. RNAcentral's name for it is "partial 16S ribosomal RNA". It matches the Rfam family "Bacterial small subunit ribosomal RNA", at positions 509 to 807 of the family's 1533-position model. The record is from RNAcentral.
CAGCCGCCGCGGUAAUACGUAGGUGGCAAGCGUUGUCCGGAAUUAUUGGGCGUAAAGGGCUCGCAGGCGGUUUCUUAAGUCUGAUGUGAAAGCCCCCGGCUCAACCGGGGAGGGUCAUUGGAAACUGGGAAACUCGAGUGCAGAAGAGGAGAGUGGAAUUCCACGUGUAGCGGUGAAAUGCGUAGAGAUGUGGAGGAACACCAGUGGCGAAGGCGACUCUCUGGUCUGUAACUGACGCUGAGGAGCGAAAGCGUGGGGAGCGAACAGGAUUAGAUACCCCAGUAGUCCCUGUCUCUUAUAC